RNAcentral lists this ribosomal RNA (256 nucleotides) under uncultured bacterium. RNAcentral's name for it is "partial 16S ribosomal RNA". It matches the Rfam family "Bacterial small subunit ribosomal RNA", at positions 96 to 353 of the family's 1533-position model. The record is from RNAcentral.
UGGCGGACGGGUGAGUAAUGUCUGGGAAACUGCCUGAUGGAGGGGGAUAACUACUGGAAACGGUAGCUAAUACCGCAUAACGUCGAAAGACCAAAGAGGGGGACCUUCGGGCCUCUUGCCAUCGGAUGUGCCCAGAUGGGAUUAGCUUGUUGGUGGGGUAAUGGCUCACCAAGGCGACGAUCCCUAGCUGGUCUGAGAGGAUGACCAGCCACACUGGAACUGAGGCACGGUCCAGACUCCUACGGGAGGCAGCAUG